ACCGAGGGCCGCCGAGCGCAAGAUAACCACCGCUUCCAAGAGGCAGAACUUCAUCCUCAUCCUCUAAUGGACUAUGGAAAGAAGAAAAACAGUCCUUUUACAGUGAAGAAACUCAGCAGAUGCUCCCUCAACAUCGCUGGUGGUAAGUCUUGUGGCUACUGGGUACCCCCUGAUACAAUGACAGGGGCACCUCACCUCUGUGAUCUUUUACCCAAAAACUAAUAACCUCAGUCUCAUGAGAAAAACAUCAGACAAACUCAGAUGAGGGGCAUUCUACAAAAUACGUGAGCAGCACUCUUCGAAUGUGUCAAGGUCGUGAAAAACAAGAAAAGACUCAGAACUGUUAGGGACCAGAGGAGCCUCAGGAGAUGACGGAGACUGAAUGCCAUGUGGGAUGCCGGAUGAGAUCAUGGAACAGAAAAAGGGCAUUAGUGGGAAACUGGCGAAAUCCUAAUAGAGUCUGUCGUCCAGCUAAUAAUGUUUUACUAAUGUUAACUUUUUAGUUUUGACAAAUGUAGCAUGAUUAUGUAAGAUGUUCACAUUAGGGGAAGGUGGGGGAAGAGUAUGGGAACUUUGUGGAACUUUGCUGUAAAUCUAAAAUCACUAAACAAAAAUUAUUCAAAAAAUCAGGGUGUAGAUAUUUAUUAGUAUAGAAAUGUAUUCACAACAUAUUAAGGGGAAAGUAUGUAUGGCCUCACAUAGUUUUUGCUGAAUGAGACCGUAUUUGUAAAAACUCUAAUAACAAGGUGUAUGUCUACAUGAAUGUGUAUAUAUGCACAUGUAGGCUGGGCACGGUGGCUCAUGCCUGUAAUCCC
This 815-nucleotide long non-coding RNA is filed under the name Homo sapiens (human). RNAcentral's name for it is "non-protein coding lnc-TNFRSF13B-3:3". Lineage: Eukaryota; Metazoa; Chordata; Mammalia; Primates; Hominidae. The record is from RNAcentral.